AGCAGCCGCGGUAAUUCCAGCUCCAAUAGCGUAUAUUAAAGUUGUUGCAGUUAAAAAGCUCGUAGUUGAAUUUCGGGGUUAGUAGGUUGGUCAUGCCACUGGUAUGUACUGGUCUCACUGAUUCCUCCUUCUUGAAGAACCGUAAUGCCAUUAAUUUGGUGUUGCGGGGAAACAGGACUGUUACUUUGAAAAAAUUAGAGUGUUUAAAGCAGGCAAUCGCUUGAAUACAUUAGCAUGGAAUAAUGAAAUAGGACGUUCGAUCCUAUUUUGUUGGUUUCUAGGAUUUGACGUAAUGAUUAAUAGGGAUAGUUGGGGGCAUUAGUAUUCAAUUGUCAGAGGUGAAAAUUCUUGGAUUUAUUGAAGACUAACUACUGCGAAAAGCAUUUGCCAAGGAUGUUUUCAUUAAUCAAGAACGAAAGUUAGGGGAUCGAAGACGAUCAGAUAUCGUCGUAGUCUUAACCAUAAACUAUAGCCGACUAGGGAUCGGAUGAUGUUAAUUUUUAAUGUACUCAUUCGGCGC
RNAcentral lists this ribosomal RNA (520 nucleotides) under uncultured Glomus. RNAcentral's name for it is "SSU rRNA". It matches the Rfam family "Eukaryotic small subunit ribosomal RNA", at positions 569 to 1086 of the family's 1831-position model. The record is from RNAcentral. Lineage: Eukaryota; Fungi; Glomeromycota; Glomeromycetes; Glomerales; Glomeraceae.